GGAUUGUGGCUCAGCGGUAGAGUGCUCGCCUAGCACGUGCAAGGCGCUGGGUUUGAUCCUCAGCACCA
This 68-nucleotide transfer RNA is filed under the name Marmota monax (woodchuck). RNAcentral describes it as "tRNA.Ala". The record is from RNAcentral. Lineage: Eukaryota; Metazoa; Chordata; Mammalia; Rodentia; Sciuridae.